CAGUCGCCGCGGUAACACGGAGGGUGCAAGCGUUAAUCGGAAUUACUGGGCGUAAAGCGCACGCAGGCGGUCUGUUAAGUCAGAUGUGAAAUCCCCGAGCUUAACUUGGGAACUGCAUUUGAAACUGGCAAGCUAGAGUCUUGUAGAGGGGGUAGAAUUCCAGGUGUUGCGGUGAAAUGCGUAGAGAUCAGGAGGAAUACCGGUGGCGAAGGCGGCCCCCUGGACAAAGACUGACGCUCAGGUGCGAAAGCGUGGGGAGCAAACAGGAUUAGAUACCCGGGUAGUCCCUGUCUCUUAUACA
RNAcentral lists this ribosomal RNA (301 nucleotides) under uncultured bacterium. Its description in RNAcentral is "partial 16S ribosomal RNA". It matches the Rfam family "Bacterial small subunit ribosomal RNA", at positions 509 to 808 of the family's 1533-position model. The record is from RNAcentral.